AGAAUUAGUUUAAGGUAUAGCCUGCUCUAUGAAUAUUUUUAAAUGGCCGCGGUAUUUUGACCGUGCGAAGGUAGCAUAAUCAUUAGUCUUUUGAUUGGAGGCUGGUAUGAAUGGCUGGACGAGAAAAUUUCUGUCUCUGUUAUAAAAUUUGAAUUUUAUUUUUAAGUGAAAAAGCUUAAAUUUUUUUGAGGGACGAUAAGACCCUUUGGAUCUUUAUAAUAAUGAGUAAUAAAAAGGUUGGGUGUGACAGCUUAUUACUUUAAAUUAUUGGGUUGGGGCGACCGGAAGAAAAAAAUAUCUCUUCUUAAAUAAUAUAUUUAUCAAUAGGCUUAGGAUGACCCUAAAUUUUGGUUUAAAAGACUAAGUUACCCUAGGGAUAACAGCGUAAUCUUUUUGGAGAGUUCAUAUCGAUGAAAAGGUUUGCGACCUCGAUGUUGGAUUAAGAUAUCCUUAUGGCGUAGCCGUUAUAAAGGAGAGUCUGUUCGACUCUUAAAUUCUUACG
This 502-nucleotide ribosomal RNA is filed under the name Triops granarius. RNAcentral describes it as "partial 16S ribosomal RNA". It matches the Rfam family "Bacterial large subunit ribosomal RNA", at positions 1836 to 2600 of the family's 2925-position model. Lineage: Eukaryota; Metazoa; Arthropoda; Branchiopoda; Notostraca; Triopsidae. The record is from RNAcentral.